GUCUCUUCUCAAUCAAAUACUUUCCUCCAUGCAAUAGAUUCAAAGAAAAUUAAAGGCCUAACUUUUAGUAUUGUUUUGUUGACCUCAUACACCAACUUGAUAAAAACUGCUGGUAGCUUAAUUGAUUAGCUUCAGGAGAUUAGAUUAGAUUGAAUUUGUACGAGCUAGGGAGCAAGAAGAAUUUUUGUAUAUUCUUGAAAACCAUGGGAAGAAUUCGGUAGAGGUUCCGUCCUGUACUUGCAAUUGGAAACACUGAGCAGAAUUCGUG
Molecule: unclassified non-coding RNA, 268 nt
Filed under: Hevea brasiliensis (rubber tree)
Lineage: Eukaryota; Viridiplantae; Streptophyta; Magnoliopsida; Malpighiales; Euphorbiaceae
Source: RNAcentral